GCUGGGUGUGGUGGCACAUGCCUGUAAUCCCAGCAGCUUAGGAGGCUGAUGCAGGAGGAUUUUGAGUUCAAAGCCAGCGUCAGCAAUGGAGAGGUUCUAGGCAACUCAGUGAGACCCUGUCUCUA
This 125-nucleotide small RNA is filed under the name Marmota monax (woodchuck). The record is from RNAcentral. Lineage: Eukaryota; Metazoa; Chordata; Mammalia; Rodentia; Sciuridae.